Molecule: long non-coding RNA, 1415 nt
Organism: Sycon ciliatum
Lineage: Eukaryota; Metazoa; Porifera; Calcarea; Leucosolenida; Sycettidae
Exons: 2
Source: RefSeq, a predicted model, not a curated record
CGAGAUACGAGAUUUUUGUUUGGCGAAAGUCUUUCAAUUAUUUUUGUUUUCAACAUAAUACUGUACAUGUAUCCAUUUUCAAAUCAGUUUUGAGCCCCAGGUCAGGAAUCCUUCUGGUCAGUGUUCAUGGUGUUGGCGGACGAUGCUUGAGUGUUGGAUUCCUGUCGAGGAGCCUCCGUAUGUAUCUGAUAUACAGUAAAGUGAAACUGCCGAGGGCUUCGCCAUAUUCAAUUCUCUGCUACAGUGUACAACAGGAUCACGUUUUUGGCACAAUGAACUUUUGAAAAAGAGCAUAAGAGAACUAUUGUGCAUUUGAAUUAUGGAAGACCCUGUACUGAACACUGAUGAAGUGCGGGCCAAGGUGACACCUUACUCGGAUAUGCCAUCAACAGUAUUCAUGCUGCAAAGCCAUCGGGCUAGUAGUCAGUUGCCAGCCAUUGGCGAUGAUGAGUGCGGUGAGGAUGUGUGCGGUGAGGAUGAGUGCGGUGAGGAUGUGUGCGGUGAGGAUGUGUGUGAUAGCGCUGGCCUGGGUAGUUACGUCAGUGCUGUUGUGGUCGGCGGUGUAUCGCUAGCCAUGUUCUACCUCGCUAACUUGUCUUAGUCACCAAACAAGGCCAGCCAUGGUGUUGUGUACCAAGCAGCCCGUGUGCAUACCGCAGCCAAUGCUGGCAAUGGUGUUGUGUAUCAAGUAGUUGCCCGCGGGCUUACCACAACCAAUGCCGCAGUGCUGUGUAUCAACUACUAGUAUCAAGCAGCCCAUGUGCAUACUGCAGCCAAUCCCGACAAUGGUGUUGUGUAUCAAAUAGCCCACGGGCAUACUACAGUCAAUGCCAUGGUGGCGUGUAUCUAGCAGAGCACACCUGCAUGCCACUGCCACGCCUGCACACAGUGGUACAGUGUACAUGUGGUACAUGCCGGUAUACGUAGAGAGUGAUUGUACCCACUGGCAAGUAUUUGUUGGGUUGUGCAAGUCAGUACAUGGAGAGCAGUCUACACAGCACUCGGUGUAUCUCCCGAGAAUGGAUCAGCAGUCUACACAGCACUCGGUGUAUCUCCCGAGAAUGGAUCAGCAGUCUACACAGCACUCGGUGUAUCUCCCGAGAAUGGAUCUUGACUCGCACUUUUUUUGUUUGUUUUAACCAUUGAAUCAUUGUAUGUGCGCUACGAAACUUGGUUGCUAUAAUUAUAUUGUUAUUAUUGCUGCUUGCUUUGCACAUAGCCGCUUGCUGAGUGUUGCUACUGCUAUUGCAGACUACUGCUGCUGCUGCUGCUGCCGUCGUCUUGGUAAUAAUGAUGGUUUUGCCGUUUUUGCAUUUUACAAUGAUUUUUGUUUUGUGUUCGGUAGACCCUGUGUUGACUUUCACAGGUCAGUAUUCUUAGCAGAAUAUUUUUUGACUAUUUAUUAUUAAACCCUC